AAAGGCAACCGAAAUGAAUAAUUAAUGUAUGUGUGUUAUAUUAAACAUAGAGGAGGGAGUAAAAUGUUGGCAAGCAAUAAACAUUUCAGGACGACUAUGUCUGAAUUAUUAUCCUUACACUUUCAAAAAUACUAGUUGAAUAAGACACGGGAGAGAUGACGAAUUUUGGCAAAGAGAUUUAUUUAUAGACUAAUACAACAAUCAGUAGCGGAUUUAGGUACAGGCGACAUAGGCAUCUUGCGUGGGGCAACACGGUGCGGGGCGGACGCUGAAGGGGGGGUUCGCCCAGGGCGACAUACAAGCUAGAACCGCCGCAUACACUUGAAACAAAUAGCCAAACUGAAAACUGCAGACAAAAAUGCUUUCUGCUACUAAGAUCAGUGAAAUGUAGGCUAAACUGACAGAGUGAAGAGCAGAAAUGUCAACUAGCAAGCAAGUCACAGUAACGAGGAACGCGAAGGGGGAAUUCUGGCAGAGGGGAGAUUUUCGAGACAACACCUGUGCAGAAGCAAAGGCUACGUAUGUAUUACAGGCUAAUAUAGUUGUGUAUGGCAGUCCAGACGGCAGCAUCAAGCUUGGCUUUGUAUUUGUAUCCAUUCCAUGCAGUCACUAAAAGAGACAACCGGCAGAAUUGUGUCCAGAGACUUGUCUUCCACCUACACCUCACCAGAACACAACGCAGAAAGGUACAGGACUGAAGUGUCUUUAACACGUGCACGAUGGGGAGAUGAGGCCAGAGGUUGCAUUGCAUUACAACUGCUCUCUUUUCUCUCUCCCUCCCAUUUUCUCUGUUCCUCUUUUUCUCUUCUCUUCAUUCCACUCCAUUCUUUCUCUUUACUCUCAUUUUUCUCUCCCCUUUCCUUCUCUCUCCUCCCUUUCUUUCUCUCUCUCUCUCUCUCUCUCUCUCUCUCUCUCUCCUCUCCUUUCUCCUCUUUCUCUCGUUUUCUCUCCUCUUUCUUUCUCUCUCUCUCUCUCUCCUUUCUCACUUAUUUUUCUCUUUCUCUCAAAUUCAUUUUUUCCUAAUUCAAGCUGCUUUAUUGGUAUGAAAAACAUUGUCUCACUUUUGCCAAAGCAACAAUGUGUACAAUAUACAUUGUAAUACAAUUAUAAAAAGAUAACAAAUAGUAAUAUAAAAUGGUGGCAAAUGAUAAUACAACAUGAAAUACAAAAAUAACAAGGUAAGUCAGUAGUAGAAAUAUAAUAAAUAAAAAUGGAAAAUGAAACUAAAACUAACUUAUAACUAAAUAACUAAUCUUCACCAUUACAUCAGUACUACAACCACCAUCAUCAUUACCAUCAUCAAAUCAAAAAUCAAAUUGAUUUAUAUAGCCCUCCAUACAUCAGCUGAUAUCUCAAAGUGCUGUACAGAAACCCAAGCUAAAACCCCAAACAGCAAGCAAUGCAGGUGUAGAAGCACGUUGGUAGGAAAAACUCCCUAGAAAGGCCAAAACCUAGGAAGAAACCUAGAGAGGAACCAGGCUAUGUGGGGUGGCCAGUCCUCUUCUGGCUGUGCCGGGUGGAGAUUAUAACAGAACAUGGCCAAGAUGUUCAAAUGUUCAUAAAUGACCAGCAUGGUCGUAUAAUAAUAAGGCGGAACAGUUGAAACUGGAGCAGCAGCACAGUCAGAUGGACUGGGGACAGCAAGGAGUCAUCAUGUCAGGUAGUCCUGGGGCAUGAUCCUAGGGCUCAGGUCCUCCGAGAGAGAGAAAGAAAGAGAGAAUUAGAGAGAGCAUAUGUGGGGUGGCCAGUCCUCUUCUGGCUGUGCCGGGUGGAGAUUAACAGAACAUGGCCAAGAUGUUCAAAUGUUCAUAAAUGACCAGCAUGGUCGAAUAAUAUUAAGGCAGAACAGUUGAAACUGGAGCAGCAGCACGGCCAGGUGGACUGGGGACAGCAAGGAGUCAUCAUGUCAGGUAGUCCUGGGGCAUGGUCCUAGGGCUCAGGUCCUCUAAGAGAGAGAAAGAAAGAGAGAAGGAGAGAAUUAGAGAACGCACACUUAGAUUCACACAGGACACCGAAUAGGACAGGAGAGGUACUCCAGAUAUAACAAACUGACCCUAGCCCCCCAACACAAACUACUGCAGCAUAAAUACUGGAGGCUGAGACAGGAGGGGUCAGGAGACACUGUGGCCCCAUCCGAUGAUACCCCCGGACAGGGCCAAACAGGCAGAGUAUAGCCCACAAAGAUCUCCACUACGGCACAAGCCAAGAGGGGUUGUGCCUUCCUCUCCCUUUUACACUCUCGCUCCUAUUUUCUAUCUCCUUUUCUCUCUCCUUUUCUCUCUCCCUUCUCCCUCUCUCUCCCUUCUCCCUCUCUCUCCUUUUCUCUCUCCCUUCUCCCUCUCUCUCCUUUUCUCU
Molecule: long non-coding RNA, 2355 nt
Organism: Oncorhynchus tshawytscha (Chinook salmon)
Lineage: Eukaryota; Metazoa; Chordata; Actinopteri; Salmoniformes; Salmonidae
Source: Ensembl